Pistacia vera is the source of this 493-nucleotide long non-coding RNA. RefSeq lists it as uncharacterized. Lineage: Eukaryota; Viridiplantae; Streptophyta; Magnoliopsida; Sapindales; Anacardiaceae. The transcript has 3 exons. The record is from RefSeq and is a predicted model, not a curated record.
CUACAAAAACAAUAUAGGACGGUGGUCGGCAACUUAACAACUGUAAUCAAAGAGAUAUAUAAGACAGGAGGAAGGAAAUUUGGGCUUUCAAGCGUGGGAGCUUCGGGUUGUUCACCAGUUGGAGGGCAGCUGUAAUGGAAGCUCAGGAUCCUGCUUGGAGACUCCUGCUUCAGAGUUAGCAAAACUAACACAACAUAGAACUCUAUAAAGCCCUGGAGGUUAGAGAAGCAACUAACAGGAUUCAAAUAUUCAGUUCACAAUUUCUACGAUUCUGGCGUUGAAUUAUUAACAAUCCUUCAAGAUAUGGUUCAAGGAGGCUAUGACGGCAUGUUGUGCAGUGGACCAUACAGAGGAAUAUCAAGCUGUGGGGGGAAGAGAAUUGGGAUAGAAGAGUAUGAACUAUGUGACAAUCCUGCGGAAUAUUUCUACUUUGACUCUGGUCAUGCAACCGAAAGGGCAUACAAGCUAUUUGCGAACUAUGUGGAGUGAACUC